Molecule: non-coding RNA, 114 nt
Filed under: human gut metagenome
Description: FMN riboswitch (RFN element)
Rfam family: FMN riboswitch aptamer (RFN element)
About the family: The RFN element is a highly conserved domain that is found frequently in the 5'-untranslated regions of prokaryotic mRNAs that encode for flavin mononucleotide (FMN) biosynthesis and transport proteins. This element is a metabolite-dependent riboswitch that directly binds FMN in the absence of proteins. In Bacillus subtilis, the riboswitch most likely controls gene expression by causing premature transcription termination within the 5' untranslated region of the ribDEAHT operon and precluding access to the ribosome-binding site of ypaA mRNA.
Source: RNAcentral
GUCUUUGUGGCGGGGUGUAAGUCCCUACCGAUGGUAAAGUCCAUGACCCGCAAAAUUCGCGGCUGAUCUGGUGUGAUUCCAGAACCGACGGUAAUAGUCCGGAUGAGAAAAGAC